This 501-nucleotide unclassified non-coding RNA is filed under the name uncultured Glomus. RNAcentral describes it as "SSU rRNA". It matches the Rfam family "Eukaryotic small subunit ribosomal RNA", at positions 591 to 1092 of the family's 1831-position model. Lineage: Eukaryota; Fungi; Glomeromycota; Glomeromycetes; Glomerales; Glomeraceae. The record is from RNAcentral.
CCAAUAGCGUAUAUUAAAGUUGUUGCAGUUAAAAAGCUCGUAGUUGAAUUUCGGGAUCAAUACGUCGGUCAUGCUUUUUGGUACGAACUGGCGUCAUUGGUUUCUCCUUUCUGACGAACCAUGAUGUCAUUAAUUUGGUGUUAUGGGGAGUUGGGACUGUUACUUUGAAAAAAUUAGAGUGUUUAAAGCAGGCAUAAGCUUGAAUACAUUAGCAUGGAAUAACUAAAUAGGACGUUCGAGCCUAUUUUGUUGGUUUCAAGGAUCAACGUAAUGAUUAAUAGGGAUAGUUGGGGGCAUUAGUAUUCAAUUGUCAGAGGUGAAAUUCUUGGAUUUAUUGAAGACUAACUACUGCGAAAGCAUUUGCCAAGGAUGUUUUCAUUAAUCAAGAACGAAAGUUAGGGGAUCGAAGACGAUCAGAUACCGUCGUAGUCUUAACCAUAAACUAUGCCGACUAGGGAUCGGAUGAUGUUAAUUUUUUAAUGACUCAUUCGGCGCCUUACG